Molecule: ribosomal RNA, 326 nt
Filed under: uncultured eukaryote
Lineage: Eukaryota
Description: partial 18S ribosomal RNA
Rfam family: Eukaryotic small subunit ribosomal RNA
Source: RNAcentral
CCCUUAGAUGUCCUGGGCCGCACGCGCGCUACACUGAUGCAUUCAACGAGUUUUACCUUGGCCGAGAGGCCUGGGCAAUCUUUUAAACCUGCAUCGUGAUAGGGAUAGAUUAUUGAAAUUAUUAAUCUUGAACGAGGAAUUCCUAGUAAACGCAGAUCAUCAAUCUGCAUUGAUUACGUCCCUGCCCUUUGUACACACCGCCCGUCGCACCUACCGAUUGGAUGGUCCGGUGAAGCCUCGGGAUUGUGGUUCUUGCCGCUUUAUUGUGGCGUGACCGCGAGAACUUGUCUAAACCUUAUCAUCUAGAGGAAGGUGAAGUCGUAACA